This 1123-nucleotide long non-coding RNA is filed under the name Vitis vinifera (wine grape). RNAcentral's name for it is "long non-coding RNA (VVIN_LNC002264)". Lineage: Eukaryota; Viridiplantae; Streptophyta; Magnoliopsida; Vitales; Vitaceae. The record is from RNAcentral.
GGAGGGUUUGUGGGAGUUUCCAGGUUCAAGUUCCAUUGGGGACAAAAAUUUGCAUAUAAUACUUACUUUCUUUAUUUUUUAUUUUUAUUUUUUGGGUGAAAUGGAUCCUUAUAAGACAAAUACGAUACAUUAUGCACUGCAUGUUAUAACAAUUAAGUUCUUUGAUUAUUUUUAGUAAGCUUUACAUGAUAAAAUGACACUUAUCAAUAGCAAGUAUCCUAUCUUAACUUUGUCCUUGAGGCCGGACUCAAGUGGUCAAGGGAUUGGGAGGGUUUGUGGGAGUUUCCAGGUUCAAGUUCCAUUGGGGACAAAAAUUUGCCUAUAAAAAAAAGUAUCUUAUCUUAGCUUCAUCUUAUUGUACAUAGAUACAUGAUGCAAUGUGUGAUAUAAUGAUAAAGGAUCUUUAAUUAUUUUUAAUAGUUUCUGAGAAAUUGGAAUUUGAAGAAAAAGAUGAAAAGGAUUCCUUAAAGAAACUAUUAGAUUUUUUGGUUAGAAUGUACAUUAAGAAUUGAUGAAGAAAAAGGGAAUGACAAAGGUAAGGUCCACAACUCCCUGAUUGUGUCAAGGUAAUGACUGUGAAUGAUCAUCAACUCCAGGAAAGGAUGCACACUUGGAAUGUUGAAAUUUAAUUAAAUUCAUUCUUGUGGUGAAUAUUGGCAAGUUGUUAUUUAAGUAAAUUCAUUCUUAUAGUGAAUAUUGGAGGGUUGUUAUUUAAAAGAUUUUCAGUAUGAUGGUAAAUAAAAACUUUUGCUUAAUAAAUUAGUUUCUCCUCUAUCAACUGGAAGUAGAAAAUUUUCCUAUCAAAAAGAAAAAAAGUCAGUUUUUGUUUUUCAGAUAUUUUGCUUUUUUAGGGAGGGAAUGAUGAUGAGCAAGUAAAGUUAGAACUUUGAAGGUGGUUUAUAAAUAUUUAUAUAUUAACAAUGAACAAGGGUAUAUCUGACCGGCUGAAUCUUGGAAAUAAAAAUUGAAAUGGUGGAUAGCAAGGAGAGAAGCAUUGUUUAGAUCUCUGUUGGAAGGAGAUGAGAUGACCCUUGUGGAGUGAUGAAUUGCUUUAUUAGUAUAUUCCCAUGUGGUAGUAUGUCGAUGUUGAGGUCUCCUUGGUAUAAUGGAGGAGUUCAGUCAU